RNAcentral lists this ribosomal RNA (253 nucleotides) under uncultured bacterium. Its description in RNAcentral is "partial 16S ribosomal RNA". It matches the Rfam family "Bacterial small subunit ribosomal RNA", at positions 524 to 776 of the family's 1533-position model. The record is from RNAcentral.
GACGAACCGAGCGAACGUUAUUCGGAAUCACUGGGCUUAAAGGGCGCGUAGGCGGGCCAUCAAGUCAGGGGUGAAAGCCCCCAGCUCAACUGGGGAAGUGCCUCUGAUACUGGUCGUCUCGAGGGAGAUAGGGGCGUGCGGAACUUCCGGUGGAGCGGUGAAAUGCGUAGAUAUCGGAAGGAACACCGGUGGCGAAAGCGGCGCGCUGGAUCUCUUCUGACGCUGAGGCGCGAAAGCCAGGGGAGCGAACGGG